Molecule: long non-coding RNA, 813 nt
Filed under: Anser brachyrhynchus (Pink-footed goose)
Lineage: Eukaryota; Metazoa; Chordata; Aves; Anseriformes; Anatidae
Description: lncRNA (ENSABRG00000010100.1)
Source: RNAcentral
GGAGCCACAAGGAGCUUAAUCUAUAUUUGUUAAAAUGAAGACCUGUAGCAUGUUCUUCUAACGCACCAGUAGCAGGGGAAAGGGCAAAUGUCCAGGAGCUGCUGUGCACUCGUCCUUGACAGGAAGGGCAAGCUGAGCAAACAGGGCAGAGGACGAGCAUGUGAGGUGGCCGCAGGGGAGCCAGCAGCAGGGACAGGGCUGCUCCGACUGCUUGAGAAUCUCUUCAGCAACCGGGAAGGGGCUGAAAGCACAAAGACAAGAUUGUGUUGUGAAGGUGUUUCCUCACAGAGUCUGGGUUAUUUCUGUUGCAGUAUUGCUUCCUUCACACCCCUUGUAUUACUAUGCUAUAGGAUUAACAUCAGGCAGUUAGGAGAAACUUCAGACUUCCCAGAGCAUGGCCCAAGGAGUAGCCAAUGCUCUGUUGUCCAUAGCUGCAUUCAGUUUAGAGUUUACUUGCUGUGAAUGUACGUUUUGAAAAAGCUUUUUUGCUUUGUUGUAAUUUAAGAACAGUCCUUCCAAUGUCUCUAUUGUCAAGUAUGUGCUGAGAUGUAUGGGUACUUCUGCCGGUAUAGUCUUUCCAUCGCAACUUGAAGCUAUGGAAUGUGCAAGAGUGGUCCUUAAUUUUAUUCUUAUUCAGAAGUGGAAAAGAAGGCAGUGAUAACAGAGAAAAUUUUCAUUUUCCUUCUUAAACCCCACCAGUUUGAAUAAUCUUUUGCUGAGUUUCCUGAUGUGGCUAUUUGCAUUCUUUUGUGAAUUCAGACUGACUGUUAGCAGCCUCCAAAUAAAACAUGGUUAUAUGAAGAUUUACCUUGG